UUGAUUAUGACGUACUUGUACUGAUUGAGAUUUUAACACGAAGUGAGUGGCGAACGGGUGAGUAACACGUGGGUAACCUGCCCAGAAGUAGGGGAUAACACCUGGAAACAGAUGCUAAUACCGUAUAACAGAGAAAACCGCAUGGUUUUCUUUUAAAAGAUGGCUCUGCUAUCACUUCUGGAUGGACCCGCGGCGUAUUAGCUAGUUGGUGAGGUAAAGGCUCACCAAGGCAGUGAUACGUAGCCGACCUGAGAGGGUAAUCGGCCACAUUGGGACUGAGACACGGCCCAGACUCCUACGGGAGGCAGCAGUAGGGAAUCUUCCACAAUGGACGCAAGUCUGAUGGAGCAACGCCGCGUGAGUGAAGAAGGGUUUCGGCUCGUAAAGCUCUGUUGUUAAAGAAGAACGUGGGUAAGAGUAACUGUUUACCCAGUGACGGUAUUUAACCAGAAAGCCACGGCUAACUACGUGCCAGCAGCCGCGGUAAUACGUAGGUGGCAAGCGUUAUCCGGAUUUAUUGGGCGUAAAGCGAGCGCAGGCGGUCUUUUAAGUCUAAUGUGAAAGCCUUCGGCUCAACCGAAGAAGUGCAUUGGAAACUGGGAGACUUGAGUGCAGAAGAGGACAGUGGAACUCCAUGUGUAGCGGUGAAAUGCGUAGAUAUAUGGAAGAACACCAGUGGCGAAGGCGGCUGUCUGGUCUGCAACUGACGCUGAGGCUCGAAAGCAUGGGUAGCGAACAGGAUUAGAUACCCUGGUAGUCCAUGCCGUAAACGAUGAUUACUAAGUGUUGGAGGGUUUCCGCCCUUCAGUGCUGCAGCUAACGCAUUAAGUAAUCCGCCUGGGGAGUACGACCGCAAGGUUGAAACUCAAAAGAAUUGACGGGGGCCCGCACAAGCGGUGGAGCAUGUGGUUUAAUUCGAAGCUACGCGAAGAACCUUACCAGGUCUUGACAUCUUCUGACAGUCUAAGAGAUUAGAGGUUCCCUUCGGGGACAGAAUGACAGGUGGUGCAUGGUUGUCGUCAGCUCGUGUCGUGAGAUGUUGGGUUAAGUCCCGCAACGAGCGCAACCCUUAUUACUAGUUGCCAGCAUUAAGUUGGGCACUCUA
Molecule: ribosomal RNA, 1105 nt
Filed under: Pediococcus pentosaceus
Lineage: Bacteria; Bacillati; Bacillota; Bacilli; Lactobacillales; Lactobacillaceae
Description: bacterial SSU rRNA
Rfam family: Bacterial small subunit ribosomal RNA
Source: RNAcentral